AGUGAACGCUGGCGGUAGGCCUAACACAUGCAAGUCGAACGGCAGCACAGGAGAGCUUGCUCUCUGGGUGGCGAGUGGCGGGCGGGUGAGGAAUACAUCGGAAUCUACUUUUUCGUGGGGGAUAACGUAGGGAAACUUACGCUAAUACCGCAUACGACCUACGGGUGAAAGCAGGGGACCUUCGGGCCUUGCGCGAUUGAAUGAGCCGAUGUCGGAUUAGUUAGUUGGCGGGGUAAAGGCCCACCAAGGCGACGAUCCGUAGCUGGUCUGAGAGGAUGAUCAGCCACACUGGAACUGGGACACGGUCCAGACUCCUACGGGAGGCAGCAGUGGGGAAUAUUGGACAAUGGGCGCAAGCCUGAUCCAGCCAUACCGCGUGGAUGAAGAAGGCCUUCGGGUUGUAAAGCCCUUUUGUUGGGAAAGAAAUCCAGCCGGCUAAUACCCGGUUGGGAUGACGGUACCCAAAGAAUAAGCACCGGCUAACUUCGUGCCAGCCGCCGCGGUAA
This 506-nucleotide ribosomal RNA is filed under the name uncultured bacterium. RNAcentral describes it as "partial 16S ribosomal RNA". It matches the Rfam family "Bacterial small subunit ribosomal RNA", at positions 29 to 523 of the family's 1533-position model. The record is from RNAcentral.